This 449-nucleotide ribosomal RNA is filed under the name uncultured organism. RNAcentral describes it as "partial 16S ribosomal RNA". It matches the Rfam family "Bacterial small subunit ribosomal RNA", at positions 335 to 800 of the family's 1533-position model. The record is from RNAcentral.
ACUCCUACGGGAGGCAGCAGUGGGGAAUAUUGGACAAUGGGCGCAAGCCUGAUCCAGCCAUGCCGCGUGAGUGAUGAAGGCCCUAGGGUUGUAAAGCUCUUUCACCGGUGAAGAUAAUGACGGUAACCGGAGAAGAAGCCCCGGCUAACUUCGUGCCAGCAGCCGCGGUAAUACGAAGGGGGCUAGCGUUGUUCGGAUUUACUGGGCGUAAAGCGCACGUAGGCGGACUAUUAAGUCAGGGGUGAAAUCCCGGGGCUCAACCCCGGAACUGCCUUUGAUACUGGUAGUCUUGAGUUCGAGAGAGAUGAGUGGAAUUCCGAGUGUAGAGGUGAAAUUCGUAGAUAUUCGGAGGAACACCAGUGGCGAAGGCGGCUCACUGGCUCGAUACUGACGCUGAGGUGCGAAAGCGUGGGGAGCAAACAGGAUUAGAAACCCUAGUAGUUCCAUGA